UGUAGCUUAGUUGGUUGAGUGCAAGGCUCUCAACCUUGUGGUCAUGGGUUCGAGCUCCUUUCA
RNAcentral lists this transfer RNA (63 nucleotides) under Vitis vinifera (wine grape). It matches the Rfam family "tRNA", at positions 6 to 65 of the family's 71-position model. From Rfam's summary of the family: Transfer RNA (tRNA) molecules are approximately 80 nucleotides in length. Their secondary structure includes four short double-helical elements and three loops (D, anti-codon, and T loops). Lineage: Eukaryota; Viridiplantae; Streptophyta; Magnoliopsida; Vitales; Vitaceae. The record is from Rfam by way of RNAcentral.